This 1744-nucleotide long non-coding RNA is filed under the name Gossypium raimondii (Peruvian cotton). Its description in RNAcentral is "long non-coding RNA (GRAI_LNC003084)". Lineage: Eukaryota; Viridiplantae; Streptophyta; Magnoliopsida; Malvales; Malvaceae. The record is from RNAcentral.
AGAAACAGAAUAGCUAGAAAAGAAACAGAGAAAGAGACGAAAAACAGGGGAAGAAAGAAAGGAAAGAAAAGAAAAGGGGAAAUUGAGAUUUUUAAGCUUCAAGUUAAUUGGUAAGCUAAAUUUAGUCCUUUUCUCUUCAUUUUGAUUUUUUUUUUUUUUGGAACCCUAGAGUGAAAUACUCUUGGAUUUAAGUUGAAAAUUUGAAAGUUAAUAGAUUUUUUUUAGGGUUUAUGUUGAAUAAAUGAUUGAAUUGAUGAUUUAUUUGAUAGAGUUCUAGUUAGAGUUGAUAGAAGGAUUAAAUUGUGAACUAAACUAUAAGUUUUGAAUUUUAGGGAUUAAAUUGAGGGAAAUUCGAAAUUAGUGAAAAAUGCUGAAGAAAUUAGUAGAUAAAAUUUAGUUUGGAUGAAAUUUGAAUAGAAAUAGAGUGUGAAUUAAAUUGGAAAAGUAAAUAAAUUUAGUUAGGAUUAAAUUAGAAUUAAAGGAUAAAUUAGAUAGAAAUUCUAUUAUUAUUAUAAAUUAAUGUUGUAAGUGAUGGUGUAAAUUAUUAUUAUUUUCGUAGUUAACAAAGAACUCGAGGCAUCGGCACACAAAGGAAAGGAGAAGGUUAUUGAGGAAUAAUCGAGCAAAAUUCGGGUUUGUAUUACUAUAAUUCAAAUUUAUUUAUUAUUGAUUGUUAUAUUUUAAUUAAAAUGCAUGGUAAGUAAAAAUUAGGUAAGCAAUUGGAAUGAUAAUAGUGACUUGAAUUGAAUCAAAUUAAAUUGAAUGAUGGAAAUAUGUGAAUAUUUGAAAUGUAUAUUGAUUAAAAAGUAUUAGUGAUUUAAAUUUGAUUGAAAAAUGAAUUUUAAAAUAUGAAUUAAAUAAAGUGAAUUAAUUUAUGAAUAUGUGUGAAAAUGUGGAUUGUGUAUUGAUAGAAAAGUGAAUUGAAUUGAAUCAAAAUAUGAUUAUAUGUGAUUAUUUGAAAAUGUAUUGGUAUUAAAUUGUUAAUUGACUAGAAAGUGGAAAAGUGAUCUUGAAUUGGAAAUGGAAGAGAAUUGAGAAUUUAAAUACCCUAUUAACUAGUCGGGCUAAGUCGGAUAUAGUUGGCAUGCCAUAGGAUUUGGAAGAGUACGGGAUUUAUCGGCUUUGCCGAUCAGGCACUUUAUGUGUCGUAUAUCAGGCACCUCGUGUGUCGUAUCAGGCACCUCGUGUGUCGUUUCAGGCACUUAUGUGUCGUAUACUGAUCAGGUACUAUGUACCGUUUUAGGCACAAUGUGCCGUACUGGUGUGAUUGGGUUGGAAUCCGUGUAUCCGUCAAAGUCCAGAUUGUUAAUAGGGUGAAUAAUUGAAAUGAGAAAAUUAAAUGAAUUUGAUUGAUUGUAGUAUUGAAUAUGAGGGUAAUUGAAAUUGUUACAUGUGAUAUGUGAUUGAAAUUGAAGAAUAACUAUAAAUUUUACUGUGAUUGUUAAGUAAUGAAAGUUUAUGAAUUAAUUGAUAUUUAAGAAAUUGGAUAACUACAUGCUUGGUAAUUAUAAUUCUUUAUUGUUAUUAUAAUUUGAAUUAUGGUAAUACCACUGAGUAUAAAAAUACUCAGCGUACGGUUGUUUCCGUGCGCAGGUUGUAGAAGUCAAGUAUUGAGCCAGCAUCCAAAACCAGACCCGACUUCAGCAAAUUUUGGUGAUGUAUAUUUUCUUUUAGAAUGUGGCAUGUACAUAGGAUGUGUAUAAACGUUAUUAUGUUUUGAAUAUAAAUAGCUAAAAAUGUUAGU